AUUGAACGCUGGCGGCAGGCUUAACACAUGCAAGUCGAGCGGGGUGAUGGUGCUUGCACUAUCACUUAGCGGCGGACGGGUGAGUAAUGCUUAGGAAUCUGCCUAUUAGUGGGGGACAACAUCUCGAAAGGGAUGCUAAUACCGCAUACGUCCUACGGGAGAAAGCAGGGGAUCACUUGUGACCUUGCGCUAAUAGAUGAGCCUAAGUCGGAUUAGCUAGUUGGUGGGGUAAAGGCCUACCAAGGCGACGAUAUGUAGCGGGUCUGAGAGGAGGAGCCGCAAAACUGGAGCUGGGACACGCCCCAGACUCCUACGGGAGGCAGCAGUAGGGAAUAUUGGACAAUGGGGGGAACCCUGAUCCAGCCAUGCCGCGUGUGUGAAGAAGGCCUUAUGGUUGUAAAGCACUUUAAGCGAGGAGGAGGCUCUUUUGGUUAAUACCCAAGAUGAGUGGACGUUACUCGCAGAAUAAGCACCGGCUAACUCUGUGCCAGCCGCCGCGGUAA
RNAcentral lists this ribosomal RNA (503 nucleotides) under uncultured bacterium. RNAcentral's name for it is "partial 16S ribosomal RNA". It matches the Rfam family "Bacterial small subunit ribosomal RNA", at positions 30 to 523 of the family's 1533-position model. The record is from RNAcentral.